Molecule: non-coding RNA, 95 nt
Organism: Neoconidiobolus thromboides FSU 785
Lineage: Eukaryota; Fungi; Entomophthoromycota; Entomophthoromycetes; Entomophthorales; Neoconidiobolaceae
Source: the annotation of a GenBank genome assembly
GCUCCUGUAGCAAAGUGGUUUAAUGCGUCGUGCUUAUAAUUUAAAGUUAUACUUAAGACACGCGAAGGUCGCGGGUUCGAACCCCGCCAGGAGCA